UACGUAGGUGACAAGCGUUGUCCGGAUUUACUGGGCGUAAAGAGCGCGCAGGCGGUCGUUCAAGUCGAGUGUGAAAGCCCCCGGCUCAACUGGGGAGGGUCACUCGAUACUGAUCGACUUGAAGGCAGGAGAGGGAAGCGGAAUUCCCGGUGUAGUGGUGAAAUGCGUAGAUAUCGGGAGGAACACCAGUGGCGAAGGCGGCUUCCUGGCCGUGCUCUUGACGCUGAGGCGCGAAAGCUAGGGUAGCAAACGGG
This 254-nucleotide ribosomal RNA is filed under the name uncultured bacterium. RNAcentral's name for it is "partial 16S ribosomal RNA". It matches the Rfam family "Bacterial small subunit ribosomal RNA", at positions 524 to 776 of the family's 1533-position model. The record is from RNAcentral.